This 65-nucleotide transfer RNA is filed under the name Dipodomys ordii (Ord's kangaroo rat). It matches the Rfam family "tRNA". From Rfam's summary of the family: Transfer RNA (tRNA) molecules are approximately 80 nucleotides in length. Their secondary structure includes four short double-helical elements and three loops (D, anti-codon, and T loops). The record is from Rfam by way of RNAcentral. Lineage: Eukaryota; Metazoa; Chordata; Mammalia; Rodentia; Heteromyidae.
GGUUGCUCAGUGGUAGAGUGCUUGCUUUGCAUGCAUGAGGCCCUAGGUUCGAUUCCUGAGCACCA